CAGCAUUAGCAUGACAUGAGUUUUAUUUUUAAUAUGAUCUUCCUUAUCCUAGAACAAGCCUGAAAUUGUAACCAGAUGGUGUCCCACCCUGCCAGAGUUGCCUCCAACCAUCAGGGUUCCAGUCCCCAGGGCAGUUAACCACAGGCAGAAUUUUCAGGUCCCUUUGAUGAGGCUGCAGCUAACCCAGAGAAGGAGGGUCGUCUUCUCCUGAGUUGUUGUAUCCUUCACGGUUUUUCUACUUGCAGGGAAUGUGGAAAAGCUGCUGUUCUGGACAGAAUGAAGACCAGCCAAGGGAGGCAGAACCUCGGCAUUGCUGCAGCAGGCCUGGUACAGUAUUCGUAGCUUGCUUUACAUGCACUCAGGUCAGUUGUGUUUUUGCUUUGGCUUUUGUCACGUUUGCUAGGAGGAUUCGGUUAGGUUCGCUGCGCUGUGGUGCUCACUCACCUGCUUUCUGUGUCAAUGGAACUGUUUGCCUUUUUGCUGUAUCUGUUGGUGAAGUGAUUGACUGUUUCUGCUCGCUACUGGGGUUUCCCUUUCUCUGUAAUGCCUGCCUGGGGGGAGGGUGAAAACACUGGUGCUGUUUGCAGCCUUUCUUUGUAAUUUUUACCCUGCUAAUAAACACCUUUGUAGCAAUAAUGGAUUUUUUUUU
RNAcentral lists this long non-coding RNA (649 nucleotides) under Chrysemys picta bellii (western painted turtle). RNAcentral's name for it is "lncRNA (ENSCPBG00000012570.1)". Lineage: Eukaryota; Metazoa; Chordata; Testudines; Emydidae. The record is from RNAcentral.